AUUAAGGUGGCAGAGCCCGGUAAUUGCGGGAGGCCUAAAACCUUUACCCCCGAAGGUUCAAAUCCCUCCCUUAAUU
This 76-nucleotide transfer RNA is filed under the name Thorius n. sp. RLM-2004. Its description in RNAcentral is "tRNA-Leu". It matches the Rfam family "tRNA". Rfam says of the family: Transfer RNA (tRNA) molecules are approximately 80 nucleotides in length. The record is from RNAcentral. Lineage: Eukaryota; Metazoa; Chordata; Amphibia; Caudata; Plethodontidae.